Molecule: ribosomal RNA, 620 nt
Filed under: Acanthohelicospora guianensis
Lineage: Eukaryota; Fungi; Ascomycota; Dothideomycetes; Tubeufiales; Tubeufiaceae
Description: eukaryotic LSU rRNA
Rfam family: Eukaryotic large subunit ribosomal RNA
Source: RNAcentral
AUACCCGCUGAACUUAAGCAUAUCAAUAAGCGGAGGAAAAGAANCCAACAGGGAUUGCCUCAGUAACGGCGAGUGAAGCGGCAAUAGCUCAAAUUUGAAAUCUGGUCCUUUCAGGUCCCGAAUUGUAAUUUGUAGAGGAUGUUUCGGCUCACGCCCCGGUCUAAGUUCCUUGGAACAGGACGUCACAGAGGGUGAGAACCCCGUUUGUGGCCGGCGGCUUACGCCAUGUGAAACUCCUUCGACGAGUCGAGUUGUUUGGGAAUGCAGCUCUAAAUGGGAGGUAAAUUUCUUCUAAAGCUAAAUACUGGCCAGAGACCGAUAGCGCACAAGUAGAGUGAUCGAAAGAUGAAAAGCACUUUGGAAAGAGAGUUAAAAAGUACGUGAAAUUGUUGAAAGGGAAGCGCUUGCGACCAGACUUGCCCGCGGAUGCUCAGCCGGUCCUUCGGCCGGUGUACUCUUCCGCGGUCAGGCCAGCAUCAGUUCGGGCGGUCGGAUAAAGGCCUUGGGAAUGUAACUCACCUCGGUGAGUGUUAUAGCCCUCGGUACAAUACGGCCCGCCUGGACUGAGGAACGCGCUUCGGCUAGGAUGCUGGCGUAAUGGUCGUAAGCGGCCCGUCUUG